Glycine soja is the source of this 228-nucleotide long non-coding RNA. RefSeq lists it as uncharacterized. The transcript has 3 exons. Lineage: Eukaryota; Viridiplantae; Streptophyta; Magnoliopsida; Fabales; Fabaceae. The record is from RefSeq and is a predicted model, not a curated record.
GAGGGAAAAUCUGCACUAUCACCCGAGACUCUGUUGAAAUACAUAGAUGAACUUCCAUUGUGUGCAAGGAAUCAAACAGUUGAUCAUCAGACUCAAAAAAGCAUGUCUGAGGGUUUGUCAGAAUUGGUGACAGUGCAGAAGCUAUGGAGCACUGCAGUUCUGUGCCUAUAUGAAGCUGGAAAGUAUUGCAGAGUGCGACUAUUGGAUUUGUUUUGUGAAGCUCUCAGU